Camelina sativa (false flax) is the source of this 299-nucleotide non-coding RNA. NCBI's taxonomy places the organism in Eukaryota, Viridiplantae, Streptophyta, Magnoliopsida, Brassicales, Brassicaceae. The record is from RefSeq and is a predicted model, not a curated record.
UUUACCGGUUAAUAGCUCAAGCAUCACUACACCAAACCCAUACACAUCGCUCUUCUCAGUCAGUUGAUUCGUCAUGUAGUACUCAGGAUCCAGGGUCUCCCACAAGUUUGGAAAGGCCGAAAUCGGCAACUUUUGCGGUUAGAUGUUCAUUAAGUAAUAUGUUAUUUGAUUUGACGUCUCUGUGUAUAAUUGGAGGAUCAGCAAGCUCAUGAAGGUUCAUCAGCACCAAAGAACUAACUAAAAGAAGAAAUAUUUGAUAUUUACCUGAUAGAGCAUCUCUAAGAGAGCCAUUGGGUAUG